GCAGUCGAGCGGUAACAGGAGAAGCUUGCUUCUCGCUGACGAGCGGCGGACGGGUGAGUAAUACUUAGGAAUCUACCUAGUAGUGGGGGAUAGCUCGGGGAAACUCGAAUUAAUACCGCAUACGACCUACGGGAGAAAGGGGGCAACUUGUUGCUCUCGCUAUUAGAUGAGCCUAAGUCGGAUUAGCUAGAUGGUGGGGUAAAGGCCUACCAUGGCGACGAUCUGUAGCUGGUCUGAGAGGAUGAUCAGCCACACCGGGACUGAGACACGGCCCGGACUCCUACGGGAGGCAGCAGUGGGGAAUAUUGGACAAUGGGGGCAACCCUGAUCCAGCCAUGCCGCGUGUGUGAAGAAGGCCUUUUGGUUGUAAAGCACUUUAAGCAGUGAAGAAGACUCUAGGGUUAAUACCCUUAGACGAUGACAUUAGCUGCAGAAUAAGCACCGGCUAACUCUGUGCCAGCAGCCGCGGUAAUACAGAGGGUGCAAGCGUUAAUCGGAAUUACUGGGCGUAAAGCGAGCGUAGGUGGCUUGAUAAGUCAGAUGUGAAAGCCCCGGGCUCAACCUGGGAACGGCAUCUGAUACUGUUAGGCUAGAGUAGGUGAGAGGAAGGUAGAAUUCCAGGUGUAGCGGUGAAAUGCGUAGAGAUCUGGAGGAAUACCGAUGGCGAAGGCAGCCUUCUGGCAUCAUACUGACACUGAGGUUCGAAAGCGUGGGUAGCAAACAGGAUUAGAUACCCUGGUAGUCCACGCCGUAAACGAUGUCUACUAGUCGUUGGGUCCCUUGAGGACUUAG
This 792-nucleotide ribosomal RNA is filed under the name Psychrobacter sp. RF1. Its description in RNAcentral is "bacterial SSU rRNA". It matches the Rfam family "Bacterial small subunit ribosomal RNA", at positions 57 to 843 of the family's 1533-position model. The record is from RNAcentral. Lineage: Bacteria; Pseudomonadati; Pseudomonadota; Gammaproteobacteria; Moraxellales; Moraxellaceae.